RNAcentral lists this ribosomal RNA (465 nucleotides) under uncultured bacterium. RNAcentral describes it as "partial 16S ribosomal RNA". It matches the Rfam family "Bacterial small subunit ribosomal RNA", at positions 338 to 795 of the family's 1533-position model. The record is from RNAcentral.
CCUACGGGCGGCAGCAGUGGGGAAUAUUGCGCAAUGGGCGAAAGCCUGACGCAGCGACGCCGCGUGAGGGAUGAAGGUCUUCGGAUCGUAAACCUCUGUCAGCAGGGAAGAACGGUCACUGUGCUAAUCAGCAGUGAAUUGACGGUACCUGCAAAGGAAGCACCGGCUAACUCCGUGCCAGCAGACGCGGUAAUACGGAGGGUGCGAGCGUUAAUCGGAAUUACUGGGAGUAAAGCGCUCGUAGGCGGUAUGUCAAGUCAAGGGUGAAAUCCCCGCGCUCAACGUGGGAACGGCCUUUGAAACUGGCAAACUUGAGUGUGUUAGAGGAUAGUGGAAUUCCAGGUGUAGGCGUGAAAUCCGUAGAUAUCUGGAGGAACAUCAGUGGCGAAGGCGACUAUCUGGCACAUAACUGACGCUGAGGAGCGAAAGCGUGGGUAGCAAACAGGAUUAGAUACCCGGGUAGUC